Molecule: long non-coding RNA, 5454 nt
Filed under: Physcomitrium patens
Lineage: Eukaryota; Viridiplantae; Streptophyta; Bryopsida; Funariales; Funariaceae
Description: long non-coding RNA (PPAT_LNC013253)
Source: RNAcentral
UUUUUUUUUUCUUCAUAGGAUUUUGGGAAGACUGAGGCAAUCAUUGCUAAAAGUUAGUGUUAUAUUGGUGAACUGGAUUUUUUUUUCGUAAGAGAGGAAAAGGCUCGUACUCUUGAUUGCUGUUGGAAUGGGAGAUACUUCUGUGGUUGAAAUUCAGAGUUAUCUAGAAGGUUGAGUAUGCUGAAUGCAUGCGUGGUUGUGUUAAUCUGACUGUACGGAUAGAGGAUAUCUGCCAACAGUUUAAAGAGGUUUUGGGAAUUGGCAAAUUGGGGUUUGUUUAGGGUUUUUGUGAUAACUGGGACCUACCGACAGGGAUAAGAGGAAUAUCGGUGAGUGGCCAAAGAACAUUGGUGCGGAUUGCAGUAUAGCCUCACAAUCUGUAAGCGGGGUUAAACUGGAACUUCUUGAACAUUCGAAAGGGCUUGCAAAGACACUAGCGAUAGAUGUUUCACAACAAGUUGGAAGGAUAGAUUGAGGAUCAUAGCUUGCCGAAGUUCACGGUCUAGGAUUAAGGUAAUUAACGAUAAAGAUAAAAUAAAAAACAUAAAAUAAAUAAAAUAAAAUAAAAAUAACAAAAGAGAUUGAAGUUAUAUAGGGUCUCUAGGAGUUUUAUAUUGGAAUUAAGAUUUUACAUUACAAUCCGAUAUAGAUUGUAUUUAGGUAGUCAAGAACAUGAUAGACUGCUUGAGUACUAGCGAAAUAUCAUACUACCUCCUACAGCUAGACGCCCGGCGCGUUCUCAAGCAAGAUAGCACGUAAUACGACAUAAGUGGUGAACUCGACGUGAAAGCUUGAGGUGGAAGGUAUUGGAUUUCAUGUGAUUUUAUUUUUAUUUCUAUGGAGAAUGAAAAUAAAUUUUUUUAAGGAUCUUUGGAAGGAGUUUCUAGUAGGGGUUCUUCUAAAGAACAAGGUAUGCACAUGGAUCUGUCUAUUGCUAGUAUGUUUCAAGCCUUCUCAUUAUCAAUGCAACAACAGCAAAGCAAUGAUCGAAAAGAAGCUUUGGCAACCAAAGCAUUGCAAGCAGUGGUCAAUAAAAUUGAUCAAUUUGAUGGAAGGAAUAUUUCAAGGUAUUUAAGAUGUUAUGUUUGUGAAAUGGAAUUAAAUUGGAUUUUUGAGAAGAAAAUGGUUGAAUUAUUUGGACUUGCCAUGAUACCGGAGAUAAGAGACUAUAUUACAUCGAUUACGGAUCGUUAUGGGAAUUCAUGGGAGGUUUUUUCUCAUGCAUUGAAAGACGAAUAUUUCUUGGAAGAUGCUGAUUGCAUUACUAAGAAGCUGUUUCAAAAAUGGAUUGAACGGCCUAAUAAAAAUUUGCAAGCAACAGAGCUACUAAGGAAAUUUGAGAGGCAGUACUCUCAAUUAUCGAAGGUAGAAAAAUUGACAUUAGAGCCGAACAAAGUUGUUCUAUUUCUUCAAGCUGUUGAUGGAGAAUUGCAAGGGAAAUUGGAACUCCUUCUUGAAGACAAAGAAAAAGAUGAAGGAUUGACAACAAAGUGGAAGAACAUUGAAGAUGCGGUGGGGUUGCUUGCAAAAAGAGAAAGGAGGAAGAAUAGGAGUAAUAUUCCGAAAACAAUACAAGCACUCAAAGCUCUAGUACGUACAACACCACCAACAAUGCCUACAAUUCAACCUUCGACAUCCUUAUCAAAGAAAGCCGAUAUGGAGAUGGAAGAAAUUAUACGAGGGAUGCGAGAUCUUCAAAUCAAAUUAGCAAGACUUGAAGAGAAUACUUCUACAAACAAUUUGAAGAAUGUUUCAAAACAAGGAUAUGUACAAAGAUGCAUUUGGUGUGAUGACGCUUCAUAUACUAGGAAAGAUUGCAAUGAAUUUAAUAAUAUGAUAUGGCAAGGAAUUAUUUCUUGGAAAGAUGGAAAGAUAGCAUUAAAAGAUAGGGAGGAUCUUCUUCAAACUAAUUUUGGUAAGGGGAGGAAUGAGAGCAUUAGUUCAAGAUUACUUAAAAGAGCAUGAAACAGCAGCAUGAGAAAGUGCAAGUUAUGGUGCUAGAGUAGAUGAUGACCUUGGUGGAAUUACGGAAACUAGUGAGUUUUGGGCUUCUGUCAUUUCUAUAAUGCAAGAAGGCAAAUUACCUCAAGAAGUGUUAUUGAGGACUGCAGCUACAAUACGAGGUAAAACAGGUUGGGAGGAUCAUGUUGAGUCUCUUUCAGUUCAUGCAUAUAUUGCUAAAAGCCAACAUAAAGCUUUGAUGGAAGAAAAGAGACGAGGAAAUUUUGAUGAUACGAAAGAAGGAAAUUCUUUUAAGAGGCAAACUCGAGGAGACAAGGCUCGGGAGGCAGCUUCACAAGAAUUGCCUGUAAAGGAUACCUCAGCAUCAUUGGAAGAAAAAGCAAGGGAGACAAAAGAUAAGGGCAAAUCAAUUACUUAUAAGCUACUUUCUGACAUUGAAGCGGCAACAAAUUUGAAAGGGAUGUUGGAAGAACAUAUAUUAAAUGCUAAGGUGGAAUUCACAUUGAAAGAAGUUUUGAAAAUUGUAAAGAAGGAGUUUCAUGAUGUUAUCAUUGACAACAUUAAGCAAAAGAGGUAAUUAAUGGACGAAACUGGAAUGAGUCAUGCUAUUGAUGUAAGAAUAUAUAAAGAUGAAGAAGAGGUUGAUAAUGGUUACAAGUAAUUAACAAAUGAAAAGAAUGGGUAUAAUCAACAAGUACGUUUUGAAGAUUAUAGUGAUAAGGAAAUGGAAACUUUGAGCCAUUAUACUCGAAAGCAUUGGGCAAGGGCAACUACUGAGGUAUUGGUGAAAGUAGGAGAUAUAGAAGAACCAAUUGUUGCUUUAGUCGACCAUGGUUCUGAAAUAAAUCUUAUGUCUAAAGAUCUUUAUAAGAAGCAAAAAUGGCGAAUUGAUAUGGAACAUGGAUAGACAAUAUGAGCAGCUAAUAACACACGGGGCGAAUUAUAUGGAGCUUGUCCAGAUGUCAAAAUUUGGAUUGGGGAUGUUACGACGGAGCAACAUUUCUUUGUUCAAGAUACAACGUCUUAUCCGUUGAUUUUAGGACAACCUUAUAUUACGACAACACGGAUAGAAAUAAAAGUACUUGACGAUGGUUUUGCUUAUGCAAGGGUACAUAGCAAAGAUGGAAAGAAAGUUGUACAAUUUCUAACAGUACCUCCUAACCAUGAACGGAAUCGAGAUAGGUUGAGGGAGAAACCAUUGCCAAAGAUUGUUGAAGGAUUUAAGGAUUUUGGAGAGGUACCACUAUAAAGCGAGAUUAUGGAGGUACAAAAGAGGAGGUACUCUCGCAAGAUGAAGGUACCUUUGAUGCGAGUUUUAUUGGUAUUUUGGAAAAUAGAAAUAUUAUGUAUAAGAAAGUUGAUGAUUUUAAAAGAAAAGAAAGAAAAAGAUUAUAUAAUAUUCAAGGAGAAUUACGUAAGUUAGAUACAUUGCAAGAUGAUGAGAGGAUUUUAGGUGUUUAUGAAGAAAAUGGACUGGAAGAUUCAUUGGAAUUGAUUACAUCUAUUGGGUUAGGGAAUAAUGAUAAGAUUGUUGAGAUUCAUUCAAGAGAGGUUUAUAUCAUACUUGAAUCUUUUCAAGCACCAGAAGUCACUGUAGAGAUGAGAUAUAAAAUGACAAAUAAGAAGGUAAAGCCCAUUGCCGGACCAUUACCAAAAGAUUUUAAGGAACAAAUGGGAGAAGCAUCAAAAGAAGCAAGUUUAAGAGAUCCAAUGAGUAUUGGACAUCAGUUUACUAAAGAGACUUUUGAAGAAUUGAAGAUUGGUUUUGAUGGUUAUUUAUUGCCGGAGGAAAUUACUUGCUUCAAAAAGAUGUUGGCUAAACAAGGUAGAUCGUUUGCCUUCGAAUCUUAUGAAAUUGGGUGUAUGGAUCCGAAUAUUAUAACACCCAUGGUUAUCUUCACUGUAUUGCAUGUACCUUGGAAUCUAAGACCGAUUCCAGUAUCGAGGGCACAUUUACCUAAAUUGAUAGAACUAUUAAAAGAAAAGAUGAAGAUGAAAAUAUUAGAACCCUCAUUUGCACCAUAUUCUAGUCGAUGGUUUACAGUACCUAAGAAGAAUGGAUCACUACGUUUUAUUCAAGAUAUGCAACCGAUGAAUGUAGUAACUGUCAAGAAUGCAAGAAUUGGACCUAUUGUGGAUGAAUUUACUCAGGCAUUUGCAGGAAGGACGAUCUAUUCAAUAGGUGACUUGUAUUCAGGUUAUGAUCAAUUUCAACUUGUCGAAGGAAGUAGAGAUAUGACAAUGAUGAGGACACCACUUGGAUUGGUUAGAAUGUGCACUCUUCAUCAAGGCGUGACCAACUCAGUUGCACAUAUGAUGAAUGGGAUGACUAAGAUAUUGAGAGAUUUUAUUCCGAAAAAAAACUAUACUUUUUUUGGAUGAUAUUCCUAUAAAAAGGUGCAAGAAAGUGAGUGUAAUUAUUUAAACAAAGAUAUGUAGAAAUAAAUAUAGAAGACCUUAAUGAAGACAUAGAUAUUCCGCAGUGGGAAGAUGAAAUUGAUUUGGAUAUCAGAGACAGUGGAGAUGGACUAGACGAAGAUUAAGAGAACAUAUUAUGAAUCAAAUAACAACUAGGUUAAUUGGUGCAUACCGGAGGAUGCACAGGUUCAGAGGGGGUGGAUGUCGUGUUGUAACACGUCUACAUGAUGAAAAUAUAAAUGAAGAAGAUUUAUUAAAAUUUAGUCACCUUGGGUGUCAGAAGCUGAGGCCAAUUCUAAUGCAAAUAUUGAGAGGCCAGGUUCAGUAACCUCGUUACAGUCAGCCAAGGCAUACUCACCAGUAACGAAAUGCUCCAUUCGAUUCCAAUAACGAGAGUCAAUAGAAAGAGAAAGGACCAAUUCAAUGAUGGGUGAGCUUGGUUCAAAGAGCCAAUUGGAUCCAAUUUUAGAAGACCUCAAAUCCAGGUCCUAUUACGGGCCUCUUAUCCAAUAUGAGACUUGACUUGGUCGAGCAACCCAAUGUGGUCCGAUUACAGGCUUCAAUUUUAUUUCAGGUUGUUUCGAUUCUUUGUACCAUUUCGGGAUCGUGCUUUUGGUAAAAAGAUCUCUUAAAGGCAAAAAUGAGCGGGGAGAAAGCUCCGUCGGCUGUUCCAAUUUGGAGAAUCCAAGGCAAAAGAAUAGGAUCUUCUUAGGGUAAAAGGAGAGGAUAAGUUAAGAAAUGAGGAGGGGGGGAGAAUUAGGGUUUUAGGUCGGAGAGCUAGCUUCAUGCUUUGGGGAGGAAAAGACAGAGAGUUGGGGUUUUUAUUUUCUUCAUAGGAUUUUGGGAAGACUGAGGCAAUCGUUGCUGAAAGUUAGUGUUAUAUUGGUAAACUAGAUUUUUUUUUCGUAAGAGAGGAAAAGGCUCGUACUCUUGAUUAUUGUUGGAAUGAGAGAUACUUCUGUGGUUGAAAUUCAGAGUUGUCUAGAAGGUUGAGUAUGCUGAAUGCAUGCGUGGUUGUGUUAAUCUGACUGUACGGAUAGAGGAUAUCUGCCAACAGUUUAAAGAGGUUUUGGG